UGGGUAACCUGCCCUGAUGAUUGGGACAACCCGAGGAAACUCGGGCUAAUACCGAAUGUGCCCUCUGGCCUCAAGGCCGCUGGGGAAAGGAAGCUUCGGCCUCCGCAUCGGGAUGGGCCCGCGGCCCAUUAGCUUGUUGGUGAGGUAAUGGCUCACCAAGGCUACGAUGGGUAGCUGGUCUGAGAGGACGAUCAGCCACACUGGGACUGAGACACGGCCCAG
Molecule: ribosomal RNA, 222 nt
Filed under: uncultured bacterium
Lineage: Bacteria
Description: partial 16S ribosomal RNA
Rfam family: Bacterial small subunit ribosomal RNA
Source: RNAcentral